RNAcentral lists this ribosomal RNA (372 nucleotides) under uncultured bacterium. RNAcentral describes it as "bacterial SSU rRNA". It matches the Rfam family "Bacterial small subunit ribosomal RNA", at positions 790 to 1167 of the family's 1533-position model. The record is from RNAcentral.
GUAGUCCACGCCCUAAACGAUGUCAACUAGUUGUCGGGUCUUAAUUGACUUGGUAACGCAGCUAACGCGUGAAGUUGACCGCCUGGGGAGUACGGCCGCAAGGUUAAAACUCAAAGGAAUUGACGGGGACCCGCACAAGCGGUGGAUGAUGUGGAUUAAUUCGAUGCAACGCGAAAAACCUUACCUACGUUUGACAUGCCAGGAAUCCAGAAGAGAUUUUGGAGUGCCCGAAAGGGAACCUGGACACAGGUGCUGCAUGGCUGUCGUCAGCUCGUGUCGUGAGAUGUUGGGUUAAGUCCCGCAACGAGCGCAACCCUUAUCAUUAGUUGCUACGCAAGGGCACUCUAAUGAGACUGCCGGUGACAAACCGGA